GGGACAGGAACGCGCGCCGCCGGGAGGCCGAGGAGGCAGCCGGAGAGCGCGCCCGCGAGUGGGAGCGGGAGGGGAGGCGGGGAGCUGCGGGCGGCGCGGGCUGGACUCAACCAUCCCCGCGGAGGGGCGGGGGCUGCCUCGGCGCGCACGCUGCAGAAGGAGACUCGUUGGCUCGCGUGGGGAAGCCCACGCCGCGCACGGCACGCGGGAGAAACCACGCGAGGGAGCAAGGGAGCGAAGGAGCGGGGCCGCGGGCGAGCCGGGUGCUGCGGGACUCAGGCUGGCCGGCCUCCAUGGACUGCUUUCUCCUUGAGGAGCAGAGCGCCAAGCGAGCCCUGCGAAUUCUGCCUGCUGUGUGCUCCCUACACUGUGAUCCUGUGGCGUGGCGGUGAACCCAGAAGCCGCGGGGGGACUACAGGCUGCAGAUGUAAGCCCUGAGCGCCAGUUCACCCAGUUCACGGAGGGCUCCUGUGGCCCCUGCGGCCAGAAGCUUUCUCUUCUAGAGGCAGCAGCUUCCAAACUGGAGGAACUGCGUCACAUCUCCAGAAGUGACUCGGGUUGUCCCGGGGCAGGGUCCUUUUUGAUAUUUUUAUUUAUUUUUUGCCUCUGUUAUCCUUGGAGGGAGAACAGAAAAACAAGAGCUCAGGAAACCCCAGAAAUUCCCAGGGGAGAACCGUGGCUUCCACUGUUUAGGCUGAACCAGGUAUGUGGAGGGGAGGGUCACCCCUCUGUGAUUUUAACUCAGAGCCCAGGGUACCUGUAACUCUGCAAGUGAGCAAAAACGCCUUUUUAAGACCCAGUAAGUGCUCCAGUAGUUCACUUCGAGCUCAUCAGGAAAAAUUGAUCUCCUUCAGGAGCUAAGGAGAAAGUGUCCUGGCUUUGCACUGCCAUCCCUAACGACUUGUGUCACCUAGAAGCAUUUCUGCCAUUAGAAAACGUUUCCAAAAUCGAACUCUCCUGGGCUAUGACUCCUACGUGACUUCCAGGCUAUUAGGAUCCCAGGACUGCAUGUCCGUGGAAGAGAUUCCAUUCAAAUCAUUGCUAACUGAAGAUUCUGAUAACCAGGAGCCAUGCAGUGUUGCUGCAUUUAUAACGAGACAUUGUCUUCCACCAGAUAGAAGAUAAAGAGCUCUAAUAAUUCAUGACAAGUUGUUUCGUGGUCAUACGUAGGAGAGGGUGGGAAAUGGCCGUCAAAUAAGAUAGGCCGAAUUUGUAAUCUGGCUGUGUUUGUGAGUUAGUAUUGCAAUCUCCCAAGAUGGGCAAUUGCUUUGGAGGGAAAUCGUGGGGCACUGCUGCCAUCUAGUGCCCAGGUUUUCUUGUUUGGUGUUUCUAGAGAAAUCCAUCCUUGGGUCUCUGCUCUCUUACCUGAUCGGGGCUCCCUUUACUGUUUUUGAGGGCCCUUCCAGGAGACGCCCUCCCUCCAGGCUGUCAGGCAACAUGUGAAAGUUAUUGUUACACUGGAG
RNAcentral lists this long non-coding RNA (1463 nucleotides) under Heterocephalus glaber (naked mole-rat). Its description in RNAcentral is "lncRNA (ENSHGLG00000038416.1)". The record is from RNAcentral. Lineage: Eukaryota; Metazoa; Chordata; Mammalia; Rodentia; Bathyergidae.